AAAUGCGCGGUUAGUAAAGCAAAGUGGCGUAACGCUUGACCGGGAUCACGAAAUGCAGCAGUUGUUUUUCGAAGGCGCUAUUGCAAGCUCUUGCAUGGUAAACGUAAAAGCACCGUCGAAGUGUGGUCAAAGUGAGUGACAUCGACAUGUGCCACUGGACAAAAUCCAGAUACCAAUCCAAUGGACCGACAGAGCGUGCGGAUGGCCGAACUUCAAUGUGCAUCUUCAAAAACAAAGCGUAGUGCUGUUUGUGCUGGCGCUUAUUAUGAGUGUCAUCUCCUGUGAUACACACUCAUGCCACAGCAGAGGAGACCAAUGAAAAAAAGUUAUUCAGGGCUGUUUCUGCAAAAGACACUACACAGCAGUGUGCUAAAGGAGGCUGGAGACCUUUUGGAUGCAUCAUUACAUUUUUAGGUUAACUAUUGCAGGUACAUAACCAUAACCAAUCAAUGACUGUUUUUGUGCAUUGUAUAAGCACAGAUAUUCUGGAGAUCAUUUCUUAA
Molecule: long non-coding RNA, 503 nt
Organism: Ornithodoros turicata
Lineage: Eukaryota; Metazoa; Arthropoda; Arachnida; Ixodida; Argasidae
Exons: 3
Source: RefSeq, a predicted model, not a curated record